UACGGGAGGCAGCAGUGGGGAAUUUUGGACAAUGGGGGAAACCCUGAUCCAGCAAUGCCGCGUGUGCGAAGAAGGCCUUCGGGUUGUAAAGCACUUUUGUCAGGGAAGAAAUCCUUUGGACUAAUACCCUAGGGGGAUGACGGUACCUGAAGAAUAAGCACCGGCUAACUACGUGCCAGCAGCCGCGGUAAUACGUAGGGUGCAAGCGUUAAUCGGAAUUACUGGGCGUAAAGCGUGCGCAGGCGGUUGUGUAAGACAGGUGUGAAAUCCCCGGGCUUAACCUGGGAAUUGCAUUUGUGACUGCACGACUAGAGUGUGUCAGAGGGGGGUGGAAUUCCUCGUGUAGCAGUGAAAUGCGUAGAUAUGUGGAGGAACACCAAUGGCGAAGGCAGCCCCCUGGGAUAACACUGACGCUCAUGCACGAAAGCGUGGGGAGCAAACAGGAUUAGAUACCCUGGUAGUCCACGCCCUAAACGAUGUCAACUAGUUGUUGGGGAUUUACUUCCUUGGUAACGUAGCUAACGCGUGAAGUUGACCGCCUGGGGAGUACGGCCGCAAGGUUAAAACUCAAAGGAAUUGACGGAAGGGC
RNAcentral lists this ribosomal RNA (589 nucleotides) under uncultured bacterium. Its description in RNAcentral is "bacterial SSU rRNA". It matches the Rfam family "Bacterial small subunit ribosomal RNA", at positions 340 to 922 of the family's 1533-position model. The record is from RNAcentral.